GUAUAGAAAGAAAGAAAGAAGUUCAUAAGAAACUACCACCUCCAGCCAGUGUCACUUUUUUUCCACCAACAGAGCAGUAAUCUGAGGGACUUUAGAUCUCCAGAGUACAGCAAUUAGACAGGGUAAGAGCUUGCUAUUCACAGAGUUCCUCCUUCAGCUCCAGUGGUGUAAAGCUAGCUCCUGCUACAUGGAAAAAUUGCUCCAGCACAUGCAAAAAGUAAAAUUCAAGAAGCUUGGAUUUAUUUGAAGUAACACCAACAUAGGUCUGGGAUGCUUCCAUUAACAGCACUGCAGUCAUGCUCUGUUUCUAAAAGGAUAUCUAAAGAACCAUGAGGAAUUUACACCCAUACUCUCUCACAGAGCUUGCAAUA
Gymnogyps californianus (California condor) is the source of this 371-nucleotide long non-coding RNA. RefSeq lists it as uncharacterized. The transcript has 3 exons. Lineage: Eukaryota; Metazoa; Chordata; Aves; Accipitriformes; Cathartidae. The record is from RefSeq and is a predicted model, not a curated record.